UCGAGCGGACAGAUGGGGAGCUUGCUCCCUGAUGUUAGCGGCGGACGGGUGAGUAACACGUGGGUAACCUGCCUGUAAGACUGGGAUAACUCCGGGAAACCGGGGCUAAUACCGGAUGGUUGUCUGAACCGCAUGGUUCAGACAUAAAAGGUGGCUUCGGCUACCACUUACAGAUGGACCCGCGGCGCAUUAGCUAGUUGGUGAGGUAACGGCUCACCAAGGCGACGAUGCGUAGCCGACCUGAGAGGGUGAUCGGCCACACUGGGACUGAGACACGGCCCAGACUCCUACGGGAGGCAGCAGUAGGGAAUCUUCCGCAAUGGACGAAAGUCUGACGGAGCAACGCCGCGUGAGUGAUGAAGGUUUUCGGAUCGUAAAGCUCUGUUGUUAGGGAAGAACAAGUGCCGUUCAAAUAGGGCGGCACCUUGACGGUACCUAACCAGAAAGCCACGGCUAACUACGUGCCAGCAGCCGCGGUAAUACGUAGGUGGCAAGCGUUGUCCGGAAUUAUUGGGCGUAAAGGGCUCGCAGGCGGUUUCUUAAGUCUGAUGUGAAAGCCCCCGGCUCAACCGGGGAGGGUCAUUGGAAACUGGGGAACUUGAGUGCAGAAGAGGAGAGUGGAAUUCCACGUGUAGCGGUGAAAUGCGUAGAGAUGUGGAGGAACACCAGUGGCGAAGGCGACUCUCUGGUCUGUAACUGACGCUGAGGAGCGAAAGCGUGGGGAGCGAACAGGAUUAAAUACCCUGGUAGUCCACGCCGUAAACGAUGAGUGCUAAGUGUUAGGGGGUUUCCGCCCCUUAGUGCUGCAGC
RNAcentral lists this ribosomal RNA (810 nucleotides) under Bacillus velezensis. RNAcentral describes it as "bacterial SSU rRNA". It matches the Rfam family "Bacterial small subunit ribosomal RNA", at positions 62 to 852 of the family's 1533-position model. Lineage: Bacteria; Bacillati; Bacillota; Bacilli; Caryophanales; Bacillaceae. The record is from RNAcentral.